AGGACGAACGCUGGCGGCGUGCUUAACACAUGCAAGUCGAGCGGUAAGGCCCUUUCGGGGGUACACGAGCGGUCGAACGGGUGAGUAACACGUGAGUAAUCUGCCCUCCACUUGGAGAUAAGCUUCGGAAACGGGUCUAAUACCUGAUACGACAACUACCUGCAUGGGUUGGUUGUGGAAAGUUUUUUUGGUGGGGGAUGUGCUCGCGGCCUAUCAGCUUGUGGUGGGUAAUGGCCUACAGCCUCGACGGUAGCCGGCCUGAGAGGGUGACCGGCACACUGGGACUGAGACACGGCCCAGACUCGUACGGAGGCAGCAGUGGGAAUAUUGGACAGUGGGCGGAAGCUGAUCCAGCAACGCGCGUGAGGAUGACGGCUCGGUUCGUAACUCUUUACAGUACGACGAAGCGCCGCUGUGGUGGUGACGUAGGUACAGAAGAAGACACCGGCCAACGUACGU
RNAcentral lists this ribosomal RNA (459 nucleotides) under uncultured soil bacterium. RNAcentral describes it as "bacterial SSU rRNA". It matches the Rfam family "Bacterial small subunit ribosomal RNA", at positions 26 to 506 of the family's 1533-position model. The record is from RNAcentral.